ACCGAUAUGAUGAGUCCCAAACAGGACGAAACAGGCGUCUUUGAU
Molecule: non-coding RNA, 45 nt
Organism: Schistosoma haematobium
Lineage: Eukaryota; Metazoa; Platyhelminthes; Trematoda; Strigeidida; Schistosomatidae
Source: Rfam